GAUGAACGCUGGCGGCGUGCCUAAUACAUGCAAGUCGAGCGAACAGACGAGGAGCUUGCUCCUCUGACGUUAGCGGCGGACGGGUGAGUAACACGUGGAUAACCUACCUAUAAGACUGGGAUAACUUCGGGAAACCGGAGCUAAUACCGGAUAAUAUAUUGAACCGCAUGGUUCAAUAGUGAAAGACGGUUUUGCUGUCACUUAUAGAUGGAUCCGCGCCGCAUUAGCUAGUUGGUAAGGUAACGGCUUACCAAGGCAACGAUGCGUAGCCGACCUGAGAGGGGGGUCGGCCACACUGGAACGGAGACACGGUCCAGACUCCUACGGGAGGCAGCAGUAGGGAAUCUUCCGCAAUGGGCGAAAGCCUGACGGAGCAACGCCGCGUGAGUGAUGAAGGUCCUCGGAUCGUAAAACUCUGUUAUUAGGGAAGAACAAAUGUGUAAGUAACUAUGCACGUCUUGACGGUACCUAAUCAGAAAGCCACGGCUAACUACGUG
Molecule: ribosomal RNA, 497 nt
Filed under: uncultured bacterium
Lineage: Bacteria
Description: partial 16S ribosomal RNA
Rfam family: Bacterial small subunit ribosomal RNA
Source: RNAcentral